Long non-coding RNA from Leptinotarsa decemlineata (Colorado potato beetle), 263 nucleotides. Lineage: Eukaryota; Metazoa; Arthropoda; Insecta; Coleoptera; Chrysomelidae. The record is from RefSeq and is a predicted model, not a curated record.
GAACAGUGGAAAAAUAAGAAUGAACAAGUAUAGGGGAGUAUGAUGAGGGAGAUAAGGUGAAAAAAGUGGAUGGGUGGUUGUUUCUGGUGACGAACCUGGCCUCGUUUGAUCCUCAUGCAGAAGACAAAAUUGAAACUUUUUGUGUGAUUGUAUUUUUUCAACUUUGAAAUUUUUAUGAAUUAUGAAUUUUGCCAAUGUUAUGAAUAUGUAUUACAGUAUUAUGUGUGCAUUUUAUGAAAAAAAAAUAUACAGCUUGAAUUUUA